This 472-nucleotide ribosomal RNA is filed under the name uncultured bacterium. RNAcentral's name for it is "bacterial SSU rRNA". It matches the Rfam family "Bacterial small subunit ribosomal RNA", at positions 355 to 825 of the family's 1533-position model. The record is from RNAcentral.
UCGGGAAUAUUGGACAAUGGGCGCAAGCCUGAUCCAGCGAUGCCGCGUGUGUGAAGAAGGCCUGCGGGUUGUAAAGCACUUUAGUUGGGGAGGAAAGGUAUGUACUGCAUAAGUGCAUGCUGUGACGUUACCCAAAGAAUAAGCACCGGCAAACUCUGUGCCAGCAGCCGCGGUAAUACAGAGGGUGCAAGCGUUGUUCGGAUUUACUGGGCGUAAAGGGCGCGUAGGCGGCAUGACAAGUCACUUGUGAAAUCUCUGGGCUUAACCCAGAACGGCCAAGUGAUACUGUCGCGCUAGAGUGCAGAAGGGGCAAUCGGAAUUCUUGGUGUAGCGGUGAAAUGCGUAGAUAUCAAGAGGAACACCUGAGGUGAAGACGGGUUGCUGGGCUGACACUGACGCUGAGGCGCGAAAGCCAGGGGAGCAAACGGGAUUAGAUACCCAAGUAGUCCCUGAGCGGGCUGGCAAGGCGCAU